Molecule: non-coding RNA, 691 nt
Organism: Drosophila melanogaster (fruit fly)
Lineage: Eukaryota; Metazoa; Arthropoda; Insecta; Diptera; Drosophilidae
Source: Ensembl
AUUUUUGAGUUUUAAAUCCAUUUCCACCAGGUUUCUUUAAGAUCUCAUAGACCAAAAUGUUGGCACGAAUAAUUUCUACCUACUUGUUAUGCGCGGCAGUCUACAGUUUGAAUAUGCUGGAAUACUAUAGAACUGGCAAAUCUAAUCGACCGCGAGGCCCUGACGAUGACAUGUUCUACGUAAAACCGAAGUGAACCAAUAAAUCGCACCAGUAACAGCUUAUAAAGAAAAUAUUGUUUUAAUGAGGGAUGAUACUAUUUGGUUAUGGUUCGUUUACGACUGCUUCUCCUUCCGUCUGGCCUGCAGCACACCACGCAGCAUGUUGAAGGAACUCAGUACAGGCACCAUGAUGGGCAAGAAGAGUGGAAUGUAGAUGGCGUACUUCUGCUCGUCCGGGAAGUACAACUGCGCCAGCAGGCUGGCGUCAAAGAAUCCGCGCUCCGAGGCCACGAACGCACGCUUGGCCAGCACCGAAGCGUCCGCCAGUCGGUGCUCCAAAAGAGCAGCCUUGGCAGCCAAGAUGUCGGCAUAGGAAUUUGUAAUGGCGGCACCCACCUCGUCGUCUAUCACAAUGUAGCUGAUUUGAUCUAAACGAGAGGAGGAAGCGAUUAUUAAAUAAUAUUGUCCAAUUAAGGUGGUUAUUAAACUUCUCAAGCAGUACAGAUUCAAUAAAAAUAGCGUCAACCAUUUU